GACGAACGCUGGCGGCGUGCUUAACACAUGCAAGUCGAACGAAGAGCGAUGGACGCUUGCUUCUAUCAAUCUUAGUGGCGAACGGGUGAGUAACGCGUAAUCAACCUGCCCUUCAGAGGGGGACAACAGUUGGAAACGACUGCUAAUACCGCAUACGAUCUAAUCUCGGCAUCGAGGAUAGAUGAAAGGUGGCCUCUACAUGUAAGCUAUCACUGAAGGAGGGGAUUGCGUCUGAUUAGCUAGUUGGAGGGGUAACGGCCCACCAAGGCGAUGAUCAGUAGCCGGGCUGAGAGGAUGAACGGCCACAGUGGGACUGAGACACGGCCCAGACUCCUACGGGAGGCAGCAGUGGGGAAUCUUCCGCAAUGGACGAAAGUCUGACGGAGCAACGCCGCGGGAGUGAUGACGGCCUUCGGGUUGUAAAGCUCUGUUAAUCGGGACGAAAGGCCUUCUUGCGAAUAGGGAGAAGGAUUGACGGUACCGGAAUAGAAAGCCACGGCUAACUACGUG
RNAcentral lists this ribosomal RNA (510 nucleotides) under uncultured bacterium. RNAcentral's name for it is "partial 16S ribosomal RNA". It matches the Rfam family "Bacterial small subunit ribosomal RNA", at positions 28 to 507 of the family's 1533-position model. The record is from RNAcentral.